UACGUAGGGGGCAAGCGUUGUCCGGAAUUAUUGGGCGUAAAGGGCGCGUAGGCGGCUUGGCAAGUGGAUGGUGAAAUCCCUCGGCUUAACCGAGGAACUGCCGUCCAAACUGCUUCGCUUGAGACCGGGAGAGGUGAGUGGAAUUCCCAGUGUAGCGGUGAAAUGCGUAGAUAUUGGGAGGAACACCAGUGGCGAAGGCGACAUCCUGGACCGGUAUUGACGCUGAGGCGCGAAAGCCAGGGGAGCAAACGGG
Molecule: ribosomal RNA, 253 nt
Filed under: uncultured bacterium
Lineage: Bacteria
Description: partial 16S ribosomal RNA
Rfam family: Bacterial small subunit ribosomal RNA
Source: RNAcentral